Molecule: long non-coding RNA, 438 nt
Organism: Alosa alosa (allis shad)
Lineage: Eukaryota; Metazoa; Chordata; Actinopteri; Clupeiformes; Clupeidae
Exons: 3
Source: RefSeq, a predicted model, not a curated record
CGCAAACAUGGCCGACAGCACUCACUGAAACAGCCAAUGUGGAAAUACUAUGGAGACAUAGGUGGUGAACAGCAUAUUUGAGCCUGAAUCAAAGGAAGAAUCUGAAAUAGAGGAGCAACCAGUCGCCCAUAGAUUGGAAAUGACUACUUCAGAGUGGUUAUUAAAAGAAUGACCCAGGUUCCUGAGGAGCUGACCUGAAUGACCCAUCAUGGCCUCAAUCCGUUGUGCCUCUAUAUUCUUUGCAAAAUGCAAUGAAUAUUUACUGAGCUGACCAUGGCCGUUUGAGAAUCAGAGGAAUGGAAAGGCAAUGAAGUGACUUGGCCUACAGGUCUUUUGUGAGCAGGAGCUGGGGUUUCCUUAGAAGAAGUGUCCGUGUCAUGAUCCCCUUGUGCGUGGUGCUACGCAUAUGGAGGGAACUUCCGGAUACUUCAGGGCAUU